GGCGAGAUGGCCGAGCGGUCUAAGGCGCCAGACUAAGGAGUACCUGCUUCGGUAUCUGGUCCGAAAGGGCGUGGGUUCGAAUCCCACUCUCGUCA
RNAcentral lists this transfer RNA (95 nucleotides) under Trametes versicolor FP-101664 SS1. It matches the Rfam family "tRNA". Rfam says of the family: Transfer RNA (tRNA) molecules are approximately 80 nucleotides in length. Their secondary structure includes four short double-helical elements and three loops (D, anti-codon, and T loops). Lineage: Eukaryota; Fungi; Basidiomycota; Agaricomycetes; Polyporales; Polyporaceae. The record is from Rfam by way of RNAcentral.